UACGUAGGGUGCAAGCGUUGUUCGGAAUCAUUGGGCGUAAAGCGCGUGUAGGCGGCCUACUAAGUCUGAUGUGAAAGCCCGGGGCUCAACCCGGAAGUGCAUUGGAUACUGGUUGGCUAGAGGGCGAGAGAGGGAAGUGGAAUUCCUGGUGUAGGGGUGAAAUCCGUAGAUAUCAGGAGGAACAUCGGUGGCGAAGGCGGCUUCCUGGCUCGUUUCUGACGCUCAGACGCGAAAGCGUGGGUAGCAAACAGG
RNAcentral lists this ribosomal RNA (252 nucleotides) under uncultured bacterium. RNAcentral's name for it is "partial 16S ribosomal RNA". It matches the Rfam family "Bacterial small subunit ribosomal RNA", at positions 524 to 776 of the family's 1533-position model. The record is from RNAcentral.